UACGUAGGGUGCGAGCGUUAAUCGGAAUUACUGGGCGUAAAGAGCGCGCAGGCGGUCGUUCAAGUCGAGUGUGAAAGCCCCCGGCUCAACUGGGGAGGGUCACUCGAUACUGAUCGACUUGAAGGCAGGAGAGGGAAGCGGAAUUCCCGGUGUAGUGGUGAAAUGCGUAGAUAUCGGGAGGAACACCAGUGGCGAAGGCGGCUUCCUGGCCUGCUCUUGACGCUGAGGCGCGAAAGCUAGGGUAGCAAACGGG
Molecule: ribosomal RNA, 253 nt
Filed under: uncultured bacterium
Lineage: Bacteria
Description: partial 16S ribosomal RNA
Rfam family: Bacterial small subunit ribosomal RNA
Source: RNAcentral